Molecule: ribosomal RNA, 509 nt
Filed under: uncultured bacterium
Lineage: Bacteria
Description: partial 16S ribosomal RNA
Rfam family: Bacterial small subunit ribosomal RNA
Source: RNAcentral
UGGGGAAUAUUGGACAAUGGGGGCAACCCUGAUCCAGCCAUGCCGCGUGAGUGAUGAAGGCCUUCGGGUUGUAAAGCUCUUUUGGCGGGGACGAUGAUGACGGUACCCGCAGAAUAGGCCCCGGCUAACUUCGUGCCAGCAGCCGCGGUAAGACGAAGGGGGCUAGCGUUGUUCGGAAUUACUGGGCGUAAAGCGAGUGUAGGCGGUUGCCGUAGUCAGGUGUGAAAGCCUUGAGCUCAACUCAAGAAAUGCACUUGAUACUGGGUGACUAGAGGACCGGAGAGGAUAGUGGAAUUCCCAGUGUAGUGGUGAAAUACGUAGAGAUUGGGAAGAACACCAGUGGCGAAGGCGGCUAUCUGGACGGUUACUGACGCUAAGACUCGAAAGCGUGGGGAGCAAACAGGAUUAGAUACCCUGGUAGUCCACGCCGUAAACGAUGGGUGCUAGACGUUGGCGAGCUUGCUCGUCAGUGUCGCAGCUAACGCGUUAAGCACCCCGCCUGGGGAGUA